UGCACACCUGGAUCCAUUUGCAUACAGGGGCCACCACCCAUUCCACACCUCAGUGUAAUUUGCAUACCUGGGCCACACCCACUGCACACCUCAGAGCAAUUUGCAUACCUGAGCCACGCCCACUGCAGACCUGGGACUUCGUGUAACAGCACAGGUGCCUCUGCCAGGUGUGCCCAGGUGCCCCCAGGUGUAUCCCAGGUGCCCCCAGGUGUAUCCCAGGUGCCCCCAGGUGUGCCCAGGUGUAUCCCAGGUGUGCCCAGGUGCCCCCAGGUGUGCCCAGGUGCCGUCAGGGGGUGGCAGGAGUGGCACCAGCAGCCUCAGUGCCCCCAGCCCCAGCGCCGCCGCCCCCAGGUGCGCCCAGGUGUGCCCAGGUACCUCAGGGGGGUGGCAGGAGGGGCACAAGGAGCCUCAGUGCCCCCAGCCCCAGCGCCGCCGCCCCUAGGUGUGCCCAGGUGCCCCCAGGUGUAUCCCAGGUGUGCCCAGGUGUCCCCAGGUGUAUCCCAGGUGUGCCCAGGUGUGCCCAGGUGUCCCC
Molecule: long non-coding RNA, 532 nt
Organism: Serinus canaria (Common canary)
Lineage: Eukaryota; Metazoa; Chordata; Aves; Passeriformes; Fringillidae
Exons: 3
Source: RefSeq, a predicted model, not a curated record